This 710-nucleotide long non-coding RNA is filed under the name Androctonus crassicauda. The record is from RNAcentral. Lineage: Eukaryota; Metazoa; Arthropoda; Arachnida; Scorpiones; Buthidae.
GUAUAACUACUGGGUAAUCCCUGGAUAUAACCAUUAUCCAAAUCUAUGCCCCAACAGCAGAUGCAGACAAGCAGAGCAUCAUAGAUAAUUUCGAACAUACAUGUAAGUUGGAAUAAGAACAUUACAAAAAUACAUUCUAAAAUAUAAAUAAUUUCCGUUACAGAAUCACACGUGGAGAGCAUCAAAUUUAAAUUUAAGAAAUUUUAAAAAUUUAAAAAAUUUAAAAAAUUACAAAUCACAAACAAAAUUUUUAGUGAUACACCAAACACUGGGUUUAACAUAUAUAUACCAAGGAGAAAGCAUACUGUAAAGACACAUAUACAUAAUUGAACAGAGUGAAUACUAUGAAUAACAUACACUAUAGUAAUGACAAAGAGAAAUUAAAUAUAUGGAAUAAGGUGCCGCGUUAUUCUUGGAAGACAUAGGAUGUGGCGAGUCUGGCGCGAGUAUAACAACGUCCUUAAACCCAAUAUGUAUACCAAGUAUUGGACACAGUCUUGCUAUAAGUUAUGGAUCGCACACCAUUUCCAGGAUUUGGGUAAAUCCAUGGGUGGGUUGUCAUUUAUAAUGUUGGAAUAUGACCUCCUUUUUUCAAUUUCUAUCGCUUCUAGUACGUUGAGCCCAAAGCUGUCAGAUACUGGCCUAACUACUCUAGAAUUGCUCCAGUUGACAACCACAUCAUGUUCAUAUACGUUUCUUGCUAGGGCUGU